AGUUACACUCUGUUGAUUCAAAAGAAGGUUGUUUGUCCAAGCUUGUCCAAGUCAGUUUCAAGAGGCUCAGCCACCAAAAGUUUCAUCAAAGAGGAAGCCAAGGUCAUCAGUAAAGCCUCACGAGAGCUACCUGGAACGGGCAGGAAAGAAAAAUGCAGAUAAGAAAAUUAAAACCACAGACUCCUGGGCAGCGAACAAGAGCCUUCUGAUCCUAAUUCGAUCUGGAGUUAAGAAUGAAGGGGAUUUCUGUAGCAGUUUCUUUUGCAUAGCAGAGCUCCGACUUUUCCAGCAACAGCGUGUCCCUGGAAGCUACACAAAGUCCUCUUUGAUUGCCUGUGAUCAAAGCCACGAAGGCUCUCCUGCAACAUCUUAGCUUCAGAAAGCCAGGAAAAUCAGAAUGCUGAGAGUAUAUUAAUAAUUCCUAAACAUAUUUUUAAGGUUCUUCAGGCCUGUCUCAGAGCUAUGGAGGAUGCAGCAAAAGGGAUGCCUUUGAUCUGCUGUCUCUGGAUGCACAAGGAGCUCAGAGAAACAACCAGGACACAGAACAAAACAAAGCAUGGAGCUCUAAUUUAGGGGUUUCAGCUAAGCGAGUCACUCAGCACCAGCACUGCACAGGAGUUCUUACAGCUUCCUUUAUGAGAAAGAUUUGUUCUUCUGUUUAUAGGGUAUCAGAGCCAGGAGGGUGGCUGACUCUGAUGAUAGAACAAGAGCCAAAUAUGCUCCUGAUGCUCCAGUAGAGUGGUCUUCAGGUGAUCGAGAUUCCGAGCUCCCAAACCAAGGCAAGAAUAAGGAAACUGGAACAGGAGGGCAUGCUGGGCUCCAGCCUCCCGUGACAGUGAAACAUUGCCUUAGAAUGACUGUUGUUAAUACAAUUGAGGAAAUAUAACACGUAAUCUUGUGAUUAAGUUAUACACAAUUUGAUUUAAAUUUAGUUCCUGGCAGUUGCUAGGUUUCACUCUGGCAUACUCUCUCAGUGUGGAAGCUGCUGAUUCAGAAAGAGAUGUUCCAAAGCUCAUGUAUUUCCUGGACACAUCCAAGUACUGAAUAAAAUGCUGGUUAAAUAAAUGAGUUAAUUUUCCAAGAAAGACACCAAAAAAAAAAAA
This 1103-nucleotide long non-coding RNA is filed under the name Homo sapiens (human). RNAcentral describes it as "GRIK1 antisense RNA 1 (GRIK1-AS1)". Lineage: Eukaryota; Metazoa; Chordata; Mammalia; Primates; Hominidae. The record is from RNAcentral.